RNAcentral lists this ribosomal RNA (468 nucleotides) under uncultured bacterium. Its description in RNAcentral is "partial 16S ribosomal RNA". It matches the Rfam family "Bacterial small subunit ribosomal RNA", at positions 28 to 507 of the family's 1533-position model. The record is from RNAcentral.
GGCGAACGCUGGCGGCGUGCUUAACACAUGCAAGUCGAACGGAAAGGCCCUGCUUUUGUGGGGUGCUCGAGUGGCGAACGGGUGAGUAACACGUGAGUAACCUGCCCUUGACUUUGGGAUAACUUCAGGAAACUGGGGCUAAUACCGGAUAGGAGCUCCUGCUGCAUGGUGGGGGUUGGAAAGUUUCGGCGGUUGGGGAUGGACUCGCGGCUUAUCGGCUUGUUGGUGGGGUAGUGGCUUACCAAGGCUUUGACGGGUAGCCGGCCUGAGAGGGUGACCGGGCACAUUGGGACUGAGGUACGGCCCAGACUCCUACGGGAGGCAGCAGUGGGGAAUAUUGCACAAUGGGCGGAAGCCUGAUGCAGCAACGCCGCGUGCGGGAUGACGGCCUUCGGGUUGUAAACCGCUUUCGCCUGUGACGAAGCGUGAGUGACGGUAAUGGGUAAAGAAGCACCGGCUAACUACGUG